Long non-coding RNA from Silurus meridionalis, 1068 nucleotides. RefSeq lists it as uncharacterized. The record is from RefSeq and is a predicted model, not a curated record. The transcript is spliced from 4 exons. Lineage: Eukaryota; Metazoa; Chordata; Actinopteri; Siluriformes; Siluridae.
GAUGGUAGCGCUCACCUGCAAUCAGUGAUGCUGUGUGUGUGUGUGUGUGUGUGUGUUUGGAGAUUUGGGUGUUGGCCAGAAGGUCUGUGUGAGGAACCUGGUGAGCACCCGUGUAUCAUUCAUUAAUGAUAAUCAUUGUGAAAGUGUUUGCAUGUGCAGCAGCUGCUAAUGACUCUUUGCUGAACUGAAGCAGAAACACAGCACUCAGACAGAAUCUUUUAUUUAAAUUGUUUUUCUCUUUUUUCUUUUCUUUUACAACCAUCAUAUGUGUACAUCAUCACAUAAUCAUCUCUCGCUCACUCUUCAGCAGCCUGAGUGCCAGUUUCCUUCUAAUUGGUUGGAUCGUGACGUGUGACAGAGGACAGUCUCUCAAUUAAGUAGAUGAUGUCGUGCUGAGGAGUGUGUGUGUGUGUGUGUGUGUGUGUGUGUGUGGGUGUGUGUGUGUGUGUGUGGGUGGGACGUUAUCUUUUGCGAGGUUGUGGGAAUACCAGGGUGUGAAAAUUCCUGGGGAAUCACAGUGGAGAAGGGAAGCGAGAGUGAGAGAGAAGGUCGAGCUCGGGUCUGGAGAAAUGCCCGUGAUGUCUGGCUGCUGCUCAAGAAACAAAAAUAGACUGGACAGGAAAUGUGACGAGAGAUAAUGAGUUUGAUUCCUGACGAUGGCAUCUGCAGGUGGGAGGCGUGGCUUACUCUCUCUCAGCUAUCAAUCACGGUGGAUCUGGCCAAUCACAUGCGUCUGUGAGCUCAUGCAUGGAGAAGGGGGAGGAUAAACCUUUCCUACGGAUGGAGUGAGAUUGAUGAAGAGAUGCAUACAGAUGUUACUCUUUCUUUUUUCUCUGUUCUGCAUCAACCUAUCUAUACUAUAUGGGCAAAAGUUUGUGGACGCCCCAGCAUAAGAUUAACCCUUUUUCAUAACACCCCAAAAGUCCCCCAUUUCCCGUUAUAAUAAGCUCCACUCUUCUGGGAAGAUGUUCCAUUAGAUUUUGUGGAGGCAAAUCUGUUUGUAAUGUUAGGUGAGGAUUUGAUGGGGCUGUGGGUGCCGUACAUCUCUAGUUCACUUGAACUAGGAGA